This 441-nucleotide ribosomal RNA is filed under the name Denitrobacterium detoxificans. Its description in RNAcentral is "bacterial SSU rRNA". It matches the Rfam family "Bacterial small subunit ribosomal RNA", at positions 337 to 796 of the family's 1533-position model. The record is from RNAcentral. Lineage: Bacteria; Bacillati; Actinomycetota; Coriobacteriia; Eggerthellales; Eggerthellaceae.
UCCUACGGGAGGCAGCAGUGGGGAAUUUUGCGCAAUGGGGGAAACCCUGACGCAGCAACGCCGCGUGCGGGACGAAGGCCUUCGGGUUGUAAACCGCUUUCAGCAGGGAAUAUAGUGAAGGUACCUGCAGAAGAAGCUCCGGCUAACUACGUGCCAGCAGCCGCGGUAAUACGUAGGGAGCGAGCGUUAUCCGGAUUCAUUGGGCGUAAAGCGCGCGUAGGCGGCCCGUCAAGCGGGGUUUCAAAUCCAGGGGCUCAACCUCUGGCCGGACCCCGAACUGGCGGGCUCGAGUGCGGUAGAGGAAGGUGGAAUUCCCAGUGUAGCGGUGAAAUGCGCAGAUAUUGGGAAGAACACCGAUGGCGAAGGCAGCCUUCUGGGCCGCCACUGACGCUGAGGCGCGAAAGCUAGGGGAGCGAACAGGAUUAGAUACCCUGGUAGUCC